UACGAAGGGGGCUAGCGUUGCUCGGAAUCACUGGGCGUAAAGGGUGCGUAGGCGGGUCUUUAAGUCAGGGGUGAAAUCCUGGAGCUCAACUCCAGAACUGCCUUUGAUACUGAGGAUCUUGAGUUCGGGAGAGGUGAGUGGAACUGCGAGUGUAGAGGUGAAAUUCGUAGAUAUUAGGAAGAACACCAGUGGCGAAGGCGGCUCACUGGCCCGGUACUGACGCUGAGGUGCGAAAGCGUGGGGAGCAAACAGG
RNAcentral lists this ribosomal RNA (253 nucleotides) under uncultured bacterium. Its description in RNAcentral is "partial 16S ribosomal RNA". It matches the Rfam family "Bacterial small subunit ribosomal RNA", at positions 524 to 776 of the family's 1533-position model. The record is from RNAcentral.